This is a long non-coding RNA of Leopardus geoffroyi (Geoffroy's cat), 1367 nucleotides long. RefSeq lists it as uncharacterized. The transcript is spliced from 2 exons. NCBI's taxonomy places the organism in Eukaryota, Metazoa, Chordata, Mammalia, Carnivora, Felidae. The record is from RefSeq and is a predicted model, not a curated record.
GGACCCUGACUGUUUCCUGAAAAAAAAAAAAAAAAAAAAAAAAAUAUGCGGCCUGCCAAGCCCAGUACCAUCUGUCAUAGGCCUCAAGAUCAGUUCCACAGCGCUAAUGGCAUUGGCUCACGUCCUGGAGAGUGGAUGUUGCCUAAAUACCUAGGAUAUAAGGGAGGAGGGAGUGGAAGGGAGGCAGGACCGAACGGGUAGGUCAUUCAUACUGGAGGCACCAGAAGCCAUCAUACAUCAGGGAGGUGGCAUCUCGAAGGACCUCACGUCUGUUGAGGAAAGCACCAAGGUCACUCAACAGAAAAAGCGAGCAAAGAAUCGGACCAAGGUACCCAAAUCGAUACAAGUUGGCACGGACUCCCGGAGAUUGCGGCGUGAUCUUGCGAAGGCCUGGGGGGUGUUCACAGCUCCUCUUCACAGCCUGUGGCGCGUCAGCACCCGCUCCAGAGCCAGAGGCGGGGUGAGCCAUUGGUAGGCACCCGAGAAACCAGGUGGCGCCCUCCUCCACGGCCCCACCACCUCCACCCAGCUCCUCCUAACGACGUCUCACAGAAGCCACACGGAUGCUCUGUGCACAGGGGAGCCCCACUGCCACAGCAUCCUCCCUGUCGGGGGGCUGCCUCCAGGAGCUGCGCACAGAUCAGGGGCAUGAAUUCCGCAAGGGCUGGAACACUUAGCUGAGAGUUCGAUCGCCGGCCGAGGACCAGGCGGCGUUUGCCGCUGGACUUGUCGACCGGUGGGUUGAUCCGACCUGGGACCUGGGACCCGUCCUCAGUGAUGUCGGGGAGCCAAGACACCUCCAGAGGAGGACGGCCAAAGAGACAAGGAGCAUUCAAAGACCCUGAACGCCGGGAUUCUCUAGAGAGGUCAUUGUCAGACCAGCUGAGCCCGAAUCAGAGCCCCGGGAGGAUCUGUUGAACCGUGGAUUGCCAACACCGUCCUCAGAGUUUCUGACCGCUUGGUCUGCUGUUGGCCCGAGGAUCUGCAUUUCUGGAUAGAACACCCACCGUCACCUUCCCGCCCCCCAGCAUUGACUCUGCAGGAAUGCAACGGUUUGGAACAACGUGCCGAAUCGCGCCCUGUGUCCCCGGCUAAGACCCCAACGGUCGCAGUGCGCGUGAAGCGCUUAAUUCUUCGCUUUCGGCAGGUGAGCCGGCCAGGAGCGCCUUUGGGCCUUCCUUAUUGAUAGCGCCACCUAGCGACGCAGCUGGGGAACAUCCUCGGCCCGGCCCCAUCGCCCCCUGUCGCGCGAGCCCCACCAGUGGGUGGUGAGCAACUGGCGGGGGCAGUGGCCACGCUGGGGACAGCUGACUUCACACAGUGGGCUCAGUCGGCCUUCCCCGUUUCUAUUUUUGGGAGUGCGGGAG